GGCCGGGUCCCAUGCGAUCGGGCGGCGGCGAACCCCGCCAGGCCCGGAAGGGAGCAACGGUACCCGUUCGCCGAUGCGCCGUGGAAAAACCUGGCCGCC
Molecule: signal recognition particle RNA, 99 nt
Filed under: Pseudomonadota bacterium
Lineage: Bacteria; Pseudomonadati; Pseudomonadota
Description: Proteobacteria bacterium (freshwater sediment metagenome) signal recognition particle sRNA small type
Rfam family: Bacterial small signal recognition particle RNA
About the family: The signal recognition particle (SRP) is a universally conserved ribonucleoprotein involved in the co-translational targeting of proteins to membranes.
Source: RNAcentral